Molecule: ribosomal RNA, 253 nt
Filed under: uncultured bacterium
Lineage: Bacteria
Description: partial 16S ribosomal RNA
Rfam family: Bacterial small subunit ribosomal RNA
Source: RNAcentral
UACGAAGGAGGCUAGCGUUGCUCGGAAUCACUGGGCGUAAAGCGCACGUAGGCGGCUUCUUAAGUCAGGGGUGAAAUCCUGGAGCUCAACUCCAGAACUGCCUCUGAUACUGAGGAGCUCGAGUCCGGGAGAGGUGAGUGGAACUCCGAGUGUAGAGGUGAAAUUCGUAGAUAUUCGGAAGAACACCAGUGGCGAAGGCGGCUCACUGGCCCGGUACUGACGCUGAGGUGCGAAAGCGUGGGGAGCAAACAGG